UACUCAGGCCGCAGCUUCGGUCCGGGCGUUUGUCCGGUGAAUAGGGAACGAGGUGCAAACCCUCGACUGCCCCCGCAACUGUAAGCGGCGAGCGUGAUCGGCACAUGCCACUGGGAUAUCCCGGGAAGGCCCGAAACACGCGACGACCCGCAAGUCAGGAGACCUGCCGAAGCAGAUCACCCUUCC
RNAcentral lists this non-coding RNA (186 nucleotides) under Pseudoprimorskyibacter insulae. Lineage: Bacteria; Pseudomonadati; Pseudomonadota; Alphaproteobacteria; Rhodobacterales; Paracoccaceae. The record is from RNAcentral.